GCCAUGCAUGUCUAAGUAUAAGCAAUAUAUACCGUGAAACUGCGAAUGGCUCAUUAAAUCAGUUAUAGUUUAUUUGAUAGUACCUUUACUUGGAUAACUGUGGUAAUUCUAGAGCUAAUACAUGCUAAAAACCUCGACUUCGGAAGGGGUGUAUUUAUUAGAUAAAAAACCAAUGCCCUUCGGGGCUCCUUGGUGAUUCAUGAUAACUUAACGAAUCGCAUGGCCUUGCGCCGGCGAUGGUUCAUUCAAAUUUCUGCCCUAUCAACUUUCGAUGGUAGGAUAGUGGCCUACCAUGGUUUUAACGGGUAACGGGGAAUUAGGGUUCUAUUCCGGAGAGGGAGCCUGAGAAACGGCUACCACAUCCAAGGAAGGCAGCAGGCGCGCAAAUUACCCAAUCCCGACACGGGGAGGUAGUGACAAUAAAUACUGAUGGUGGGUUCUUUUGGAUCUACCAAUUGGAAUGAGUACAAUUUAAAUCCCUUAACGAGGAACAAUUGGAGGGCAAGUCUGGUGCCAGCAGCCGCGGUAAUUCCAGCUCCAAUAGCGUAUAUUAAAGUUGUUGCAGUUAAAAAGCUCGUAGUUGAACUUUGGGUCUGGCUGAUCUGUCCUCCUAAUCGAGCGCACGGAUUCGGUCGGACCUUUCCUUCUGGGGAACCCGAUGCCCUUCAC
RNAcentral lists this ribosomal RNA (669 nucleotides) under Chaetothyriales sp. RNAcentral describes it as "SSU rRNA". It matches the Rfam family "Eukaryotic small subunit ribosomal RNA", at positions 48 to 722 of the family's 1831-position model. The record is from RNAcentral. Lineage: Eukaryota; Fungi; Ascomycota; Eurotiomycetes; Chaetothyriales.